Molecule: ribosomal RNA, 468 nt
Filed under: uncultured bacterium
Lineage: Bacteria
Description: partial 16S ribosomal RNA
Rfam family: Bacterial small subunit ribosomal RNA
Source: RNAcentral
GACGAACGCUGGCGGCGUGCUUAACACAUGCAAGUCGAACGGAAAGGCCCUGCUUUUGUGGGGUGCUCGAGUGGCGAACGGGUGAGUAACACGUGAGUAACCUACCCUUGACUUUGGGAUAACUUCAGGAAACUGGGGCUAAUACCGGAUAGGAGCUCCUGCUGCAUGGUGGGGGUUGGAAAGUUUCGGCGGUUGGGGAUGGACUCGCGGCUUAUCAGCUUGUUGGUGGGGUAGUGGCUUACCAAGGCUUUGACGGGUAGCCGGCCUGAGAGGGUGACCGGCCACAUUGGGACUGAGAUACGGCCCAGACUCCUACGGGAGGCAGCAGUGGGGAAUAUUGCACAAUGGGCGGAAGCCUGAUGCAGCAACGCCGCGUGCGGGAUGAAGGCCUUCGGGUUGUAAACCGCUUUCGCCUGUGACGAAGCGUGAGUGACGGUAAUGGGUAAAGAAGCACCGGCUAACUACGUG